GAUGAACGCUGGCGGCGUGCCUAAUACAUGCAAGUAGAACGCUGAAGGAAGGAGCUUGCUCUUUCCGGAUGAGUUGCGAACGGGUGAGUAACGCGUAGGUAACCUGCCUGGUAGCAGGGGAUAACUAUUGGAAACGAUAGCUAAUACCGCAUAACAGUAGAUGUUGCAUGAUAUCUACUUAAAAGGUGCAAUUGCACCACUACCAGAUGGACCUGCGCUGUAUUAGCUAGUUGGUGAGGUAACGGCUCACCAAGGCGACGAUACAUAGCCGACCUGAGAGGGUGAUCGGCCACACUGGGACUGAGACACGGCCCAGACUCCUACGGGAGGCAGCAGUAGGGAAUCUUCGGCAAUGGACGGAAGUCUGACCGAGCAACGCCGCGUGAGUGAAGAAGGUUUUCGGAUCGUAAAGCUCUGUUGUAAGAGAAGAACGAGUGUGAGAGUGGAAAGUUCACACUGUGACGGUAUCUUACCAGAAAGAGACGGCUAACUACGUG
Molecule: ribosomal RNA, 497 nt
Filed under: uncultured bacterium
Lineage: Bacteria
Description: partial 16S ribosomal RNA
Rfam family: Bacterial small subunit ribosomal RNA
Source: RNAcentral